UACGAAGGGGGCUAGCGUUGCUCGGAAUCACUGGGCGUAAAGGGUGCGUAGGCGGGUCUUUAAGUCAGGGGUGAAAUCCUGGAGCUCAACUCCAGAACUGCCCUUGAUACUGAGGAUCUUGAGUUCGGGAGAGGUGAGUGGAACUGCGAGUGUAGAGGUGAAAUUCGUAGAUAUUCGCAAGAACACCAGUGGCGAAGGCGGCUCACUGGCCCGAUACUGACGCUGAGGCACGAAAGCGUGGGGAGCAAACAGG
RNAcentral lists this ribosomal RNA (253 nucleotides) under uncultured bacterium. Its description in RNAcentral is "partial 16S ribosomal RNA". It matches the Rfam family "Bacterial small subunit ribosomal RNA", at positions 524 to 776 of the family's 1533-position model. The record is from RNAcentral.